This 253-nucleotide ribosomal RNA is filed under the name uncultured bacterium. RNAcentral describes it as "partial 16S ribosomal RNA". It matches the Rfam family "Bacterial small subunit ribosomal RNA", at positions 524 to 776 of the family's 1533-position model. The record is from RNAcentral.
UACGGGGGGAGCAAGCGUUGUUCGGAUUUACUGGGCGUAAAGGGCGCGUAGGCGGCUCAACAAGUCACUUGUGAAAUCUCCGGGCUUAACCCGGAGCGGCCAAGUGAUACUGUCGUGCUAGAGUGCGGAAGGGGCUACUGGAAUUCUCGGUGUAGCGGUGAAAUGCGUAGAUAUCGAGAGGAACACCUGCGGCGAAGGCGGGUAGCUGGGCCGACACUGACGCUGAGGCGCGAAAGCCAGGGGAGCGAACGGG